Molecule: non-coding RNA, 99 nt
Organism: Acanthosepion pharaonis
Lineage: Eukaryota; Metazoa; Mollusca; Cephalopoda; Sepiida; Sepiidae
Source: the annotation of a GenBank genome assembly
UUACGGCCAUAUCGCGUUGAAACACCGGUUCUCGUUAGAAUACCGAAGUUAAGCAACCCCGAGCCUAGUCAGUACCUAGGUGGGCAACCGCUUUGUAAU